GCUGGGCAUGGUGGUGCAUGCCUGUAAUUCCAGCUACAGGGAGGCUGAGGAAGGAGAAUCGCUUGAGCCUGGGAGGCUGAGGUUGCAGUGAGCUGAGAUCAUGCCACUGCACUCCAGCCUGGGCGACAGAGCAAGACUGUGUCUCAA
RNAcentral lists this non-coding RNA (147 nucleotides) under Nomascus leucogenys (northern white-cheeked gibbon). Lineage: Eukaryota; Metazoa; Chordata; Mammalia; Primates; Hylobatidae. The record is from Rfam by way of RNAcentral.